This 853-nucleotide non-coding RNA is filed under the name Amolops larutensis (Larut sucker frog). Its description in RNAcentral is "partial 12S rRNA". It matches the Rfam family "Bacterial small subunit ribosomal RNA". Lineage: Eukaryota; Metazoa; Chordata; Amphibia; Anura; Ranidae. The record is from RNAcentral.
UCUCCCCUCUCUUAAAUUACACAUGCAAGUCUCAGCACACCCGUGAGAACGCCCUUAAAACCUCUACCAGGUCAAGGAGCCGACAUCAGGCACCACGCCCAUAACGUCUAGUCUCACCACACCCCCAAGGGUAAUCAGCAGUGAUUAAUAUUAUACAUAAGCGACAGCUUGAUUUACUUAAAGAGAAGCAGGGCCGGCCAACACGGUGCCAGCCGCCGCGGCUAGACCUCAGGGCCCAAGCAGAUAACCAUCGGCGUUGAGCGUGAUUAGAGUCCCCACAAAUUAGGGUUAAAUUAACACUCAGCCGUUAUAAGCUUGUAGUUAAGAAAAACGUAAACGAAAGUUACCCUAAUAACGCUCGAACACACGACAACUGAGGUACAAACUAGGAUUAGAUACCCUACUAUGCUCAGUCGUAAACAAUCAACUCACACCUACACACGCCAGGGAAUUACGAGCAAUGCUUAAAACCCAAAGGACUUGACGGUAUCCUACCCCACUAGAGGAGCCUGUUUUAUAAUCGAUAACCCCCGCUAUACCUCACCAUUUCUAGCCUAUCAGUCUGUAUACCUCCGUCGAAAGCCUACCGUAUGAACGUCUACACAGUAAAGCUCAUAGACUAAAAACGUCAACACGUCAGGUCAAGGUGCAACUCACGAAAUGGGAAAUAAUGGGCUACAAUUUCUAAUUUAGAACAAACGAAAGGCCACAUGAAACUGUGGCCAAGAAGGUGGAUUUAGUAGUAAAAAGAAAAUAGAGUGUUCUUUUUAACCCGGCUCUAGGAUGUGUACAAACCGCCCGUCACCCUCUUCAACAACAUCUGCCCUGAUUUAUAACCUAGUGCCUGUGAUUC